AUGAGAUGCAGGCUUGCAGCUGGUGACCUACUUCCUAUAAUAGAUUUCUGGGAACAAAACAAGGAAAAUUCUCCAGGGAACCUCAACAGGCCAGAAUGCAGGCCACUUCAAUCAAGGGUCUGGUUCUUGUAUUUGACCAGGUUUGGUAAGGAACUGAGGUGUGAUUGGAGGAAUCAUAUUAACCAUGGAGGUGGUAAAUUUCACUGUAUUAAACAAGAUAAACAAAAAAGAGCUACCAAAUUCCACAUUGAUCGGACACUUCCAAUGAUGGGGCCCUGCAUAUACAAUCACAACAUGCCAUGUUGCAACACUCAUCAUCCUUCCAUCUGA
This 330-nucleotide ribosomal RNA is filed under the name Triticum aestivum (bread wheat). RNAcentral's name for it is "partial small subunit ribosomal RNA". The record is from RNAcentral. Lineage: Eukaryota; Viridiplantae; Streptophyta; Magnoliopsida; Poales; Poaceae.